Molecule: ribosomal RNA, 429 nt
Filed under: uncultured Gammaproteobacteria bacterium
Lineage: Bacteria; Pseudomonadati; Pseudomonadota; Gammaproteobacteria
Also listed under: 1 other name
Description: bacterial SSU rRNA
Rfam family: Bacterial small subunit ribosomal RNA
Source: RNAcentral
UGGGGAAUAUUGGACAAUGGGCGCAAGCCUGAUCCAGCAAUGCCGCGUGUGUGAAGAAGGCUUUCGGGUUGUAAAGCACUUUCAAUUGGGAAGAAAACCCCGAGGUUAAUACCUUCGGGUCUUGACGGUACCAAUACAAGAAGCACCGGCUAACUCCGUGCCAGCAGCCGCGGUAAUACGGAGGGUGCAAGCGUUAAUCGGAAUUACUGGGCGUAAAGCGCACGCAGGCGGUUUGUUAAGUCAGAUGUGAAAGCCCCGGGCUCAACCUGGGAACUGCAUUUGAUACUGGCAGACUAGAGUAUGGGAGAGAGAAGUGGAAUUCCACAUGUAGCGGUGAAAUGCGUAGAGAUGUGGAGGAACACCAGUGGCGAAGGCGGCUUCUUGGCCCAAUACUGACGCUCAGGUGCGAAAGCGUGGGGAGCAAACAGG